This 253-nucleotide ribosomal RNA is filed under the name uncultured bacterium. Its description in RNAcentral is "partial 16S ribosomal RNA". It matches the Rfam family "Bacterial small subunit ribosomal RNA", at positions 524 to 776 of the family's 1533-position model. The record is from RNAcentral. RNAcentral also lists the same sequence under 1 other name.
UACAGAGGGUGCAAGCGUUAAUCGGAAUUACUGGGCGUAAAGCGCGCGUAGGUGGUUCAGUAAGAUGGAAGUGAAAUCCCCGGGCUUAACCUGGGAACUGCUUUCAUAACUGCUGAGCUAGAGUACGGUAGAGGGUAGUGGAAUUUCCUGUGUAGCGGUGAAAUGCGUAGAUAUAGGAAGGAACACCAGUGGCGAAGGCGACUACCUGGACUGAUACUGACACUGAGGUGCGAAAGCGUGGGGAGCAAACAGG